This 639-nucleotide ribosomal RNA is filed under the name uncultured bacterium. RNAcentral's name for it is "bacterial SSU rRNA". It matches the Rfam family "Bacterial small subunit ribosomal RNA", at positions 1 to 640 of the family's 1533-position model. The record is from RNAcentral.
GAUUAGAGUUUGAUCAUGGCUCAGAUUGAACGCUGGCGGAAUGCUUUACACAUGCAAGUCGAGCGGCGGCGCGGGGCAACCUGGCGGCGAGCGGCGAACGGGUGAGUAAUGCAUCGGAACAUGUCCCGUAGUGGGGGAUAACCCAGCGAAAGCUGGGCUAAUACCGCAUAUGCUCUACGGAGGAAAGUGGGGGACCGCAAGGCCUCACGCUAUGGGAGCGGCCGAUGUCCGAUUAGCUAGUUGGUGGGGUAAUGGCCCACCAAGGCGACGAUCGGUAGCUGGUCUGAGAGGAUGAUCAGCCACACUGGGACUGAGACACGGCCCAGACUCCUACGGGAGGCAGCAGUGGGGAAUUUUGGACAAUGGGGGCAACCCUGAUCCAACCAUGCCGCGUGCGGGAAGAAGGCCUUCGGGUUGUAAACCGCUUUUGGUCGGGAAGAAAAGGCACGUUUUAAUACGGCGUGUUCUUGACGGUACCGGCAGAAUAAGCACCGGCUAACUACGUGCCAGCAGCCGCGGUAAUACGUAGGGUGCGAGCGUUAAUCGGAAUUACUGGGCGUAAAGCGUGCGCAGGCGGUUCGUUAAGUUCGUUGUGAAAGCCCCGGGCUCAACCUGGGAACGGCAAUGGAAACUGGCGGG